GAUGAACGCUGGCGGCGUGCUUAACACAUGCAAGUCGAACGGGAUCCCAGGAGCUUGCUCCUGGGUGAGAGUGGCGAACGGGUGAGUAAUGCGUGACCGACCUGCCCCAUACACCGGAAUAGCUCCUGGAAACGGGUGGUAAUGCCGGAUGCUCCAACAUGACGCAUGUCGUGUUGGGAAAGAUUCAUCGGUAUGGGAUGGGGUCGCGUCCUAUCAGGUAGUCGGCGGGGUAACGGCCCACCGAGCCUACGACGGGUAGCCGGCCUGAGAGGGCGACCGGCCACAUUGGGACUGAGAUACGGCCCAGACUCCUACGGGAGGCAGCAGUGGGGAAUAUUGCACAAUGGGCGCAAGCCUGAUGCAGCGACGCCGCGUGCGGGAUGACGGCCUUCGGGUUGUAAACCGCUUUUGACUGGGAGCAAGCCCU
Molecule: ribosomal RNA, 427 nt
Filed under: uncultured bacterium
Lineage: Bacteria
Description: bacterial SSU rRNA
Rfam family: Bacterial small subunit ribosomal RNA
Source: RNAcentral